Molecule: ribosomal RNA, 253 nt
Filed under: uncultured bacterium
Lineage: Bacteria
Description: partial 16S ribosomal RNA
Rfam family: Bacterial small subunit ribosomal RNA
Source: RNAcentral
UACGGAGGGUGCGAGCGUUAAUCGGAAUUACUGGGCGUAAAGCGCAUGCAGGUGGUUUGUUAAGUCAGAUGUGAAAGCCCCGGGCUUAACCUGGGAAUGCCAGUCAAAACUGCGAGACUAGAGUACAGUAGAGGGGUGUGGAAUUUCCUGUGUAGCGGUGAAAUGCGUAGAGAUGGGAAGGAACACCGGUGGCGAAGGCGGCACCCUGGACUGAUACUGACACUGAGGAGCGAAAGCGUGGGUAGCAAACAGG